This 229-nucleotide ribosomal RNA is filed under the name uncultured bacterium. Its description in RNAcentral is "partial 16S ribosomal RNA". It matches the Rfam family "Bacterial small subunit ribosomal RNA", at positions 568 to 796 of the family's 1533-position model. The record is from RNAcentral.
UGCGCAGGCGGAAUGAUAAGUCAGUGGUGAAAUCCUACGGCCUAACCGUAGAACUGCCAUUGAUACUGUCAUUCUUGAGUACAUAUGAAGUGGGCGGAAUGUGUCAUGUAGCGGUGAAAUGCAUAGAUAUGACACAGAACACCGAUAGCGAAGGCAGCUCACUAAAUUGUAACUGACGCUCAUGCACGAAAGCGUGGGGAGCAAACAGGAUUAGAUACCCUGGUAGUCC